RNAcentral lists this ribosomal RNA (492 nucleotides) under uncultured bacterium. RNAcentral's name for it is "partial 16S ribosomal RNA". It matches the Rfam family "Bacterial small subunit ribosomal RNA", at positions 30 to 507 of the family's 1533-position model. The record is from RNAcentral.
AUUGAACGCUGGCGGCAUGCUUUACACAUGCAAGUCGAACGGUAACAGGCCUUCGGGUGCUGACGAGUGGCGCACGGGUGAGUAAUGCAUCGGAACGUGCCCAGAGGUGGGGGAUAACGCAGCGAAAGCUGUGCUAAUACCGCAUGUGAUCUGAGGAUGAAAGCGGGGGACCAGGCAGCAAUGUUUGGCCUCGCGCCUUUGGAGCGGCCGAUGUCAGAUUAGGUAGUUGGUGGGGUAAAGGCCUACCAAGCCGACGAUCUGUAGCUGGUCUGAGAGGACGACCAGCCACACUGGGACUGAGACACGGCCCAGACUCCUACGGGCGGCAGCAGUGGGGAAUUUUGGACAAAGGGCGCAAGCCUGAUCCAGCAAUGCCGCGUGCGGGAAGAAGGCCUUCGGGUUGUAAACCGCUUUUGUACGGAACGAAAAGGCUCUGGCUAAUACCUGGGGCUGAUGACGGUACCGUAAGAAUAAGCACCGGCUAACUACGUG